RNAcentral lists this ribosomal RNA (378 nucleotides) under uncultured archaeon. RNAcentral's name for it is "bacterial SSU rRNA". It matches the Rfam family "Archaeal small subunit ribosomal RNA", at positions 345 to 727 of the family's 1478-position model. The record is from RNAcentral.
AAACUUUACAAUGCGAGCAAUCGUGAUAAGGAAACCCUGAGUGCCUGUUGAUGCAGGCUGUUCAUCUGUUUAAAUUGCAGGUGAAGAAAGGGCAGGGCAAGACCGGUGCCAGCCGCCGCGGUAAUACCGGCUGCUCGAGUGAUGGCCACUAUUACUGGGUUUAAAGCGUCCGUAGCUUGACUGAUAGGUCUCUUGGGAAAUCUUAACGCUUAACGUUAAGGCGUCUAAGAGAUACCGUCAGUCUUGGAACUGGGAGAGGUAAACCGUACUUCGGGGGUAGGAGUGAAAUCUUGUAAUCCUCGAGGGACGACCUAUGGCGAAGGCAGUUUACCAGAACAGCUUCGACAGUGAGGGACGAAAGCUGGGGGAGCAAACGGG